RNAcentral lists this ribosomal RNA (475 nucleotides) under uncultured bacterium. Its description in RNAcentral is "partial 16S ribosomal RNA". It matches the Rfam family "Bacterial small subunit ribosomal RNA", at positions 28 to 507 of the family's 1533-position model. The record is from RNAcentral.
GACGAACGCUGGCGGCGUGCUUAACACAUGCAAGUCAGGGGGCGGGGUAACCCGUCACCGGCGAACGGGUGCGGAACACGUGAGCGACCUGCCCUGGUGUGGGGGAUAGCCGGCCCAACGGCCGGGUAAUACCGCAUACGGCGCCCGCUUGGAAGCGGGAGGCGAAACUCGCAAGAGGCCCUAGGAGGGGCUCACGGCCUAUCAGCUAGUUGGUGCGGUGACGGCGCACCAAGGCGAUGACGGGUAGCUGGUCUGAGAGGAUGGGCAGCCACAUUGGGACUGAGAGAAGGCGCAGACGCCUACUGUAGGCAGGAGGGGGGAAGGGUGGAAGAUGGGCGCAGGCCGGAUGCAGCAACGCCGCGGCAGCGAAGAAGGGAUGCGGCUUGUGGGGCUCUAUACGCGUGGUAGAAGGAGCACCCUCGCCUACCGGGGGGGGUUGACGGUACCGGGAGAAGAAGCACCGGCUAACUACGUG